GACGAACGCUGGCGGCGUGCCUAAUACAUGCAAGUAGAACGCUGAAGGAGGAGCUUGCUUCUCUGGAUGAGUUGCGAACGGGUGAGUAACGCGUAGGUAACCUGCCUGGUAGCGGGGGAUAACUAUUGGAAACGAUAGCUAAUACCGCAUAAUAGUAGAUGUCGCAUGACAUUUGCUUAAAAGGUGCAAUUGCAUCACUACCAGAUGGACCUGCGUUGUAUUAGCUAGUUGGUGAGGUAACGGCUCACCAAGGCAACGAUACAUAGCCGACCUGAGAGGGUGAUCGGCCACACUGGGACUGAGACACGGCCCAGACUCCUACGGGAGGCAGCAGUAGGGAAUCUUCGGCAAUGGACGGAAGUCUGACCGAGCAACGCCGCGGGAGUGAAGAAGGUUUUCGGAUCGUAAAGCUCUGUUGUAAGAGAAGAACGAGUGUGAGAGUGGAAAGUUCACACUGUGACGGUAGCUUACCAGAAAGGGACGGCUAACUACGUG
RNAcentral lists this ribosomal RNA (495 nucleotides) under uncultured bacterium. RNAcentral's name for it is "partial 16S ribosomal RNA". It matches the Rfam family "Bacterial small subunit ribosomal RNA", at positions 28 to 507 of the family's 1533-position model. The record is from RNAcentral.